AUGGGUCAUCCUCGGUCACAGCCUGCACGCGGCAGCACUGUGCCCCUCACACCCAGCAGGUUCCUGCUCCAGCACGGCUCCUGGGCUGGCCCCAGGUGUUGGCCUCGGAAUGUGCAAUCCAAGCAGAAUUCACUGAGGCACGUGUUUGGCAGCGGGACCCAGCUCAGCGUUUUAGGUCAGCCCAAGGCCGCCCCCCUGGUCACUCUGUUCCCGCCCUCCUCUGAGGAGCUCCAAGCCAACAAGGCCACACUGGUGUGUCUCAUGAAUGACUUCUAUCCAGGAAUCUUGACGGUGGCCUGGAAGGCAGAUGGCUCCCCCAUCACCCAGGGAGUGGAGACCACCACACCCUCCAAACAGAGCAGCAACAAGUACGAGGCCAGCAGCUACCUGAGCCUCACGCCCGAGCAGUGGAAGUCUCGCAGCAGCUACAGCUGCCACGUCACGCACGAGGGGAAAACCGUGGAGAAGAGAGUGGCCACUGAAGGAUGUCCUUAGGCCCCCACCCCUCACCCCACCCACAGGGGCGUGGAGCUGCACGUUCCCAGGGGAGGGGUCUCUCCCUGCAUCCCAAGCCGUCCACGCUUCUUCCUGUACCCAGUAAACCCUCAGUAAAUAUGCUCUUCGUCAUCCAGAAA
Non-coding RNA from Saimiri boliviensis boliviensis (Bolivian squirrel monkey), 635 nucleotides. The record is from the annotation of a RefSeq genome assembly. NCBI's taxonomy places the organism in Eukaryota, Metazoa, Chordata, Mammalia, Primates, Cebidae.